AAUGGCCGCAGUAUUUUGACUGUGCAAAGGUAGCAUAAUCAUUAGUUUCUUAAUUAGAAGCUUGUAUGAAGGGUUUGAUGAGAAAUUAACUGUCUCAUUUUUAUAAGUGGAAUUUAAUUUUUAAGUUAAAAGGCUUAAAUUUUGUAAAAAGACGAGAAGACCCUAUAGAGUUUUAUUCACUUGGUUUUUAUUUUUUUAGUUUUAUUAUAAGGUUAAGUGAAUUUUGUUGGGGUGAUGAAAAAAUUUAUAAAACUUUUUUUUGUUUUUUACAUUAAUAGGUGAUUUGAUGAUCCUUUUUUUAAGAUUAUAAGAAAAAAUUACCUUAGGGAUAACAGCGUAAUUUUUUUUGAAAGUUCUUAUUGAUAAAGAAGUUUGCGACCUCGAUGUUGGAUUAAAAUUAAUUUUCGGUGCAGAAGCUGAAAUGAUUA
This 428-nucleotide ribosomal RNA is filed under the name Gnathocerus cornutus. Its description in RNAcentral is "partial 16S ribosomal RNA". It matches the Rfam family "Bacterial large subunit ribosomal RNA", at positions 1926 to 2573 of the family's 2925-position model. The record is from RNAcentral. Lineage: Eukaryota; Metazoa; Arthropoda; Insecta; Coleoptera; Tenebrionidae.